Molecule: transfer RNA, 88 nt
Filed under: Siphoviridae sp. ctiMX17
Lineage: Duplodnaviria; Heunggongvirae; Uroviricota; Caudoviricetes
Description: tRNA-Ser
Rfam family: tRNA
About the family: Transfer RNA (tRNA) molecules are approximately 80 nucleotides in length.
Source: RNAcentral
GGAAGGCUCGCAUAGCGGACGAGUGCGCCUGUCUCGAAAACAGGAGGGCCGCGAGGUCCCCGGGGUUCGAAUCCCCGGCCUUCCGCCA